UGGGGAAUUUUGGACAAUGGGGGAAACCCUGAUCCAGCCAUCCCGCGUGUGCGAUGAAGGCCUUCGGGUUGUAAAGCACUUUUGGCGGAAAGAAACGUCAUGGGUUAAUACCCCGUGAAACUGACGGUACCUGCAGAAUAAGCACCGGCUAACUACGUGCCAGCAGCCGCGGUAAUACGUAGGGUGCAAGCGUUAAUCGGAAUUACUGGGCGUAAAGCGUGCGCAGGCGGUUCGGAAAGAAAGAUGUGAAAUCCCAGAGCUCAACUUUGGAACUGCAUUUUUAACUACCGGGCUAGAGUGUGUCAGAGGGAGGUGGAAUUCCGCGUGUAGCAGUGAAAUGCGUAGAUAUGCGGAGGAACACCGAUGGCGAAGGCAGCCUCCUGGGAUAACACUGACGCUCAUGCACGAAAGCGUGGGGAGCAAACAGG
RNAcentral lists this ribosomal RNA (428 nucleotides) under Acidobacteriota bacterium. RNAcentral's name for it is "Acidobacteria bacterium partial 16S ribosomal RNA". It matches the Rfam family "Bacterial small subunit ribosomal RNA", at positions 355 to 776 of the family's 1533-position model. Lineage: Bacteria; Pseudomonadati; Acidobacteriota. The record is from RNAcentral.